GGGAGACUGAUCAUCAGUCCGACUGCCUUUUCUGCCAAAGGUCGGCCGUCGGGUUGGUAUGUCACAGCCUUACGGGACAGUAAACCCCCUC
Etheostoma spectabile (orangethroat darter) is the source of this 91-nucleotide long non-coding RNA. RefSeq lists it as uncharacterized. The record is from RefSeq and is a predicted model, not a curated record. NCBI's taxonomy places the organism in Eukaryota, Metazoa, Chordata, Actinopteri, Perciformes, Percidae. The transcript is spliced from 3 exons.